UGGUCUUAGAUUGUGGUGUGGCAGGGC
This 27-nucleotide non-coding RNA is filed under the name Homo sapiens (human). Lineage: Eukaryota; Metazoa; Chordata; Mammalia; Primates; Hominidae. The record is from RNAcentral.